GCAGAGUGGGAGAAACGAGUGAAAGUUGGUGUAAAACAAACGUUUGAUCGUCGCUUCGGUUCGUCUGCACCGUGAGAAACUCGAUUACUGAACAAGUCUGGAUGCUAAUACAAGCUCUGGAGCUGGUUUUUGUCGAACACGAAUGAGGCUGGAGGCUGUACACACAAGAGCUCGGAGGACGAGGACAGAUCUUCAGCUGAGCUUUUCUUCAGGAGGAUUCCUGGUGUCCCUUUAACGCUGUGGAGGUGUCACCACUUCAUCCACAACGUCAUCCAUGAUCAGAGAGACAUUGUCCAUGAUCGCAGAGACGUCAUCCACGAUCAGAGAGACAUUGUUUUGAUGCCCUACCAUACAAUGACUUUUUUGCCAGGUUUAGAUACCUUGCUAUACUAUAAUAUGUAGCUCAGGACAAAGGAACCAUCUUAAAGCAGCCGCCUUGUAUGAAAGUGAAUAUUUUUAGUGAAAGGUCAGGGUUACUUUUUUUUUUUUUUUUAGCCAUUUGUAUCUGGAGGUUAGGGUUACAGCUUUAAUUUGUUUGAAAACAGAGAAACUCAAAUCAGAGGUAAGUGCUUUUGUUGUCCUCUCCUCCUCCUGUAGAGACAGAAUAUGUUAAUCACAGAAACUGUCCAAAGCUUCAAGUCCUGAAACUAUUACAAAUACAAUUAAAGAAGAAAAAGAAAGUUUAAUUAUCCCUCAAAUGUUCCUAUUACCACUAUAACAUUUCUUAAUUUGUUACUUGUUGUAUUGCAAUUCUGACCACGCAGUUUACUAGCAGCCAUCUUGCCUUUGUUUUCCACAGCUGCACAUAUAUACACACACUCCAAUCUAAUUCAUUACUAUGUAUAUAGUCCUGUUUAUACUGUUCAUAUUGUUUACAAUUUAAAAUAUAUUGUUAUAUAUUAUCUUGUUUAGUAUCAUGCCCUUUUCUGUUUUUGCUGCACUGAAUUUCUGUGAGAAUAGUGAAGGAUUAUCUUAAU
Molecule: long non-coding RNA, 977 nt
Organism: Lates calcarifer (barramundi perch)
Lineage: Eukaryota; Metazoa; Chordata; Actinopteri; Centropomidae
Exons: 3
Source: RefSeq, a predicted model, not a curated record